RNAcentral lists this ribosomal RNA (254 nucleotides) under uncultured prokaryote. RNAcentral describes it as "partial 16S ribosomal RNA". It matches the Rfam family "Archaeal small subunit ribosomal RNA", at positions 474 to 727 of the family's 1478-position model. The record is from RNAcentral.
CACCGGCGGCUUGAGUGGUAACCGUUAUUAUUGGGUCUAAAGGGUCUGUAGCCGGCCGGAUAAGUCUCUUGAGAAAUCUGGCAGCUUAACUGUCAGGCUUUCAGGAGAUACUGUCUGGCUCGAGGCCGGGAGAGGUGAGAGGUACUUCAGGGGUAGGGGUGAAAUCUUGUAAUCCUUGAAGGACCACCAGUGGCGAAGGCGUCUCACCAGAACGGACCUGACGGCAAGGGACGAAAGCUAGGGGCACGAACCGG